CUGCUCAUUUUAGCAGUACAUAUACUAAAAUUGAGACAAUUCAGAGAUUAGCAUGGUCCCUGCAUAAGGAUGACACGUAAACUUGUGAAGAUUUCCAUAUUUCU
Molecule: small nuclear RNA, 104 nt
Organism: Callorhinus ursinus (northern fur seal)
Lineage: Eukaryota; Metazoa; Chordata; Mammalia; Carnivora; Otariidae
Source: RefSeq, a predicted model, not a curated record